Molecule: non-coding RNA, 26 nt
Filed under: Xenopus tropicalis (tropical clawed frog)
Lineage: Eukaryota; Metazoa; Chordata; Amphibia; Anura; Pipidae
Also listed under: 6 other names
Source: RNAcentral
UAAGAUCAAGUGUAGUAUCUGUUCUU